GAGGUAGAAAUCAAGAAGGAGCAUCAAGUGUUGAUGGUUAACAAGACCACUAGUUUCAAGAAAAAGGGCAAAGGGAAGAAAAAGAGGAACUUCAAAAAGAACGGCAAGCAAGUUGCUGCUCAAGAGAAGAAACCCAAGUCUAGACCUAAGCCUGAAACUGAGUGCUUCUACUGCAAGCAGACUGGUCACUGGAAGCGGAACUGCCCCAAGUAUUUGGCGGAUAAGAAGGAUGGCAAGGUGAACAAAGGUAUAUGUGAUAUACAUGUUAUUGAUGUGUACCUUACCAAUGCUCGCAGUAGCACCUGGGUAUUUGAUACUGGUUCUGUUGCUAAUAUUUGCAACUCGAAACAGGGACUACAGAAUAAGCGGGCACUGGCAAAGGACGAG
Molecule: ribosomal RNA, 387 nt
Filed under: Triticum aestivum (bread wheat)
Lineage: Eukaryota; Viridiplantae; Streptophyta; Magnoliopsida; Poales; Poaceae
Description: partial small subunit ribosomal RNA
Source: RNAcentral